GCCUAGGUGGUGCAGUGGUUGGAGCUUUGGCCUAUGACUCUGGAGACCAGGGUUCGAAUCCCGCUCGGCCA
Molecule: non-coding RNA, 71 nt
Organism: Phrynosoma platyrhinos (Desert horned lizard)
Lineage: Eukaryota; Metazoa; Chordata; Lepidosauria; Squamata; Phrynosomatidae
Source: the annotation of a GenBank genome assembly